Tripterygium wilfordii is the source of this 895-nucleotide long non-coding RNA. RefSeq lists it as uncharacterized. The transcript has 5 exons. NCBI's taxonomy places the organism in Eukaryota, Viridiplantae, Streptophyta, Magnoliopsida, Celastrales, Celastraceae. The record is from RefSeq and is a predicted model, not a curated record.
GGAAAUCGAAUCCUGUGUUUGGGGGAUGUCAGAUUUGUUUGGUUGCGGAGAAGAAGAAAAAGAGAAGGUAAAGUGACAAAACUGGAGAAGGGGGUUUACGCAGGUUGAAGGAGGAGGUUUCCCUUGAAAUAGGAAAGUAGCUUUACCUGAUUUCAACGACCUUCUUAAAAUCAUUAUCAAAGGCUCUGGCAAGGAAUCUAUGGAAGUCAAAGAUUGCAAUACUGGGGGAUGGCGCUGACAAAUCAUUCAACUUACUGGCCAAAGCAAGAAGGAAUGAUCACUCCAAAGUUUCAAAUGUCUUCGCCCAAAAGAUGUUUGGCGGAUAUUGCAUGGGAUUUCACAGCCUGGUUGAUGUGCCUAAACUGUUACGGUCAAUGAUAAUGAAGCACAGCGCACAGAAGAAGUUUAAAGACGCUUGAGGUCUCUAUACAUAUGCAGAGAACCAUCUGUAUUAUUAUUGAAAAGAGUUGUGUUUGAUUCGGAGCCUGUAAUUUGAGCUGCAGAAGAAACAGCUGGUUCCACGAACGACGCAGGAUCUUUGCAAGGAAGAAAGGAGUUUGCGACAGAUUCAGCGACACAGAUGUUUGAUAUGGGUGCUUCGGAUACCGUAAGAAGGACCAAUAUGAAACCCAUUGUCAUCAUCUCUACACAAUGAUCAUUAAGAUGAGAUAGAGACUUUCUGAUUGUGCAUAAAUCAAAAAAAGCUCUGCUAAUAAGCUUGUAACUAACCUGUUUUGAUCUUCUCCAAAGCUAUACUGAGGGAUUUUCUCUUCCUUCUUCUCAGGAACUGAAAGAUGAUUCAGCAAUGCUAAGUUCAUUUAGCUCCAUAGUUACAAAAGCAUCGCAUAUGUAUAUAUACACACAAGCAUAUGUAAAUACAAUAUACCUUUGAAAU